ACGGGACCCGCACAAGCAGCGGAGCGUGUGGUUUAAUUCGAUGCUACACGAAGAACCUUACCAGGGUUUGACAUGCAAGUGGUAGGAAUCUGAAAAGGGACCGACCCUUCGGGGAGCUUGCACAGGUGCUGCAUGGCUGUCGUCAGCUCGUGUCGUGAGAUGUUCGGUUAAGUCCGCUAACGAGCGCAACCCUCACUGUGUGUUAUAUGUGUCACACGGGACUGCCGGUUUUAAGCCGGAGGAAGGUGGGGAUGACGUCAAGUCAGCAUGGCCUUUAUAUCCUGGGCUACACACACGCUACAAUGGUCGGCACAAUAGGUUGCCAAGCCGCGAGGCGGAGCCAAUCCACAAAGCCGGCCUCAGUUCAGAUUGUAGGCUGCAACUCGCCUGCAUGAAGAUGGAGUUGCUAGUAACCGCAGGUCAGCAAUACUGCGGUGAAUACGUUCCCGGGUCUU
This 455-nucleotide ribosomal RNA is filed under the name uncultured Anaerolineaceae bacterium. RNAcentral's name for it is "bacterial SSU rRNA". It matches the Rfam family "Bacterial small subunit ribosomal RNA", at positions 916 to 1381 of the family's 1533-position model. The record is from RNAcentral. Lineage: Bacteria; Bacillati; Chloroflexota; Anaerolineae; Anaerolineales; Anaerolineaceae.